UUUGAAUUCUUAGAAAUAAAACAAUUAUAAAAGGUCUGAAUUGAAAGUAUCUUAGAGAUAAAAGAAAAAAUCAAUUACCUUUCUUAAAGACAGGAAUUAUGGAUGGUCCUCCAUUUUUCUCCAGACUGAAAGGAAAACACUUUUAUCACAAAAACUAGAAAUAUAUAAAAACUUAGUAUACCCAGGUACCAUAUUCAGUGCCUAGGGGUCUAAUUUAUACGUGUUACCUGUACUAACUAUGCAUGUUACCUGUAAGUAUUUUAUAGUCCAUCAGUCAUUUAUUCACUUACCACCCAAAACGUGGAAGAUUCAGUAU
RNAcentral lists this long non-coding RNA (316 nucleotides) under Bos taurus (domestic cattle). RNAcentral describes it as "long non-coding RNA NONBTAT010617". Lineage: Eukaryota; Metazoa; Chordata; Mammalia; Artiodactyla; Bovidae. The record is from RNAcentral.